CACAAUAUGCCAUGUUUCUAAGGACGAUGUAAGUGUACAUCUUGAUUGUAAAUCAAUAUGAACCAUAAGAGGAGAAUAGUUUCACUUUGAAAAAUUCUCAAGGCAUUCAUUAUUGCUAAUGUGAGUACAUCGAGGUCUCAAAUAGACAAAGGACGUCGAUACAACGCCUUAAUACAUAUAACUUCGAACGAAAGUCAAUGUCUAGCCGAUGACAUCAAAGUCAUCUAGGCUUGUUAGCCUGGGAGUCAAAACAUGUGGUUUAAUCCUUUCCAAUGAAAGGUUCCACAGAUACCAAGCGAAGAUCCGCCUUAGGCAUCUAGUACGUCAAAACUCAAAGGAGCAGAAUGUUACAUUGUUUUUGCAUACAAAACCAAGCUGUUAUGAGACUCGAUAGAGGUCACAAACGAUGCUUUUAAUGGUUUGUUCUUCGGAUUGAUCAUACACAAUCCGGAAAAGCCGCGAAUUGAUCAAACACAAUUCAGAAAAAGGCCUCGGAUUGAUCAAACACAAUCCGGUGAAAGGUCGGGGUUGAUCAAACACAACCCGGACAAAGAAACAAGAGUGAUCAAACACACUCUUGACCCUCGAAUAAAAUUCCGGGAUUUGGGUACCUGCACGCACAAAAUCCCAAGCAUAGAAUGGAGAUGGAGAAGUGAGGAAAGGAUUUUAUCCUCCCCGAGUUAUUGAACUUGGAAAAGUUUAAGGUUUCAAAAAACAUACCUUUCUAGAGGCUUCCGAGAGGAGAAAUAACGUUUCACCUACUUAUACUUCGAAUUUGGGGCUGAAAAUUUGAUAGGAUGAGCAGCUCUGGAUGGGGAAGCUGCUGUCAAAAUUUCAGGUUGAUCGGAGUAAGGGAAGGUGGUGAACCGGUGGUCGGUAGCGGCGGCGGUCUGGAAUCUUCCGGCGGCCGGUUCAGAGACUUUCCGGCCGGUUCUCAGGGUGAGACCGGCGGCGUUGGAUCUGGGACGGAGAGAGCUUUCUGGGGAUAUAAAAUUCCGGUGGAGGACAGUCGGAAUUUUGGUCGGAAAUCGGGAAAAAAUAAGGCUGCCCUAUUUUAGGGUUUUGGUUUUUAGGGUUUAGAAAAAAA
Molecule: long non-coding RNA, 1087 nt
Filed under: Fragaria vesca (wild strawberry)
Lineage: Eukaryota; Viridiplantae; Streptophyta; Magnoliopsida; Rosales; Rosaceae
Description: long non-coding RNA (FVES_LNC005270)
Source: RNAcentral